Molecule: non-coding RNA, 375 nt
Filed under: Homo sapiens (human)
Lineage: Eukaryota; Metazoa; Chordata; Mammalia; Primates; Hominidae
Source: RNAcentral
CCUCUGAGUCCCCUCGGCCUUGCUCUCUGCCCAUCCGCCCCUGCUAUGGUUUAGAGCCUGGCCCAGCUACUCCAGACUUCUAUGCUUUGGUGGCCCAGCGGCUGGAACAGCUGGUCCAAGAGCAGCUGAAAUCUCCGCCCAGCCCAGAAUUACAGGGUCCCCCAUCGACAGAGAAGGAAGCCAUACUGCGGAGGCUGGUGGCCCUGCUGGAGGAGGAGGCAGAAGUCAUUAACCAGAAGCUGGCCUCGGACCCCGCCCUGCGCAGCAAGCUGGUCCGCCUGUCCUCCGACUCUUUCGCCCGCCUGGUGGAGCUGUUCUGUAGCCGGGAUGACAGCUCUCGCCCAAGCCGAGCAUGCCCCGGGCCCCCGCCUCCUU